AAUAACUGUAUAAACUGAUAAAAGGUGUCCAUAUGGUCAUUUAUAUCGAUCUAUAUAGAAAUAUAUGUAAGUAUUAUCAAUGCGUAGGGAUGCAUGUGUGUGAGCAUAUCAGUGUAUAGAUAACUGAUAGCAAGUUUAUACAUAAACGUAUAACCAUAUCAGUAUAUGCAUAUCGUAUAUAUACACAUUGUAUAUAAAUAUAAACUGGUAAUAAGUACGUGGAACGCAUGUGCGUGCACAUAUGCGUGCGUAUAUACUUUGAUAUUUGUAUAUAACUGAUAGCAAGCAACUGUAUGCAUAGCACAUAACUAUAUCAGUAUAUACAUAUCGUAUAUAUGUGUAUAUAAACACACAUCUGUCCAUACACAACACGUAUAUAUGUGUAAUAUAUAUAUCUGUGAGUGUGAGUGUGAGUGUGAGUGUGAGUGUGUGAGUGUGAGUGUGUGAGUGUGAGUGUGAGUGUGAGUGUCAGUGUCUGUGGAUGUAGUAUAUAACUCAGUGUACAUAUAUACCUCCAUAACUGUAUAUGCACUAAUUAAUGCGUAAGGGUGUAUGUGCGUGCGCAUAUCAGUGUAUAUAUACAUUGAUAAUUGUAAAUAACUGAUAGCAAGCAACUGUAUAUAUAGGCGCAUAAAUAUGUCAGUAUAUACAUAUUAUAUAUACACACAUCAGUCCGUACACAACACGCAUAUAUAUGUAAUAUAUAGAUAUAGCUUUGAGUGUGAGUGUGACUGUGACUGUGACUGUGAAUGUGAGUGUGUGUGAGUGAGAGUGUGAGAGCACGUGUGUGUGAGUAUAUGGAUGUAGUACAUAAAUCAGUGUACAUAUCAUAAAUAUACACACAUCAGUCCAUACACAAUACGCAUGUAUGUGUAAUAUAUAUAUCUGAGUGUGAGUGUGACUGUAAGUGUGUGUGAGUGUAAAUGUGAGUACGUGUGUGUGUGUGGGUAUAGUAUAUAAAUCAAUGUACAUAUAUGUUCAUAACUGUAUCUAUACAGUUAUGCACUUCACACAUAUACGUAUAUCAGUAUAUACACAUUGUCUAUACAGACAUCACACACACAUAUCAAUGUAAUUUUUACACACUAAUAAUAGUAUAUAUAGCUGAUACCUAAUGUAUACGUACACGCAUAAACAUAUCAGUAUAUACAUAUCGUAUAUAUACAAACAUCAAAAUACACAACAAGCAUAUAUGUGUAUAUAUAUAUAUUUAUGUGUAUGACCAUAUAUACACUUAUUAUCAGUUUAUAUAGUUAUUAAUGUAUAUAUACACUGAUUCAUAUACUACACACACACAUUUAUAUAUAUACUACACAUAUAUGCAUGUUGUGUAUAGACUGAUGUGGGUAUAUUUACAAUAUGUCUAUGCGUGUAUGUAUACACUUGCUCGCUAUCAGUUAUAUACAAUUAUACAUGUAUAUAUAUAAUGAUAUGCUCACGUGGAUGCACCUUUACGCAUUGAUUAGUAAAUGUAUAUACAUGCAUUUUAUAUACACUAAUAUAUAUGAUAAUAUAGACACUUAUUAGCAGUUUAUAUGUAUAUAUAUACAGUGUUUACUAUACGAUAUAUAUAUACUGAUACAUUUAUGCGUGUAUGUAAACACUUGCCGUCAUUAACAUAUAUAGUGUUUAUAUAUACGAUAUGUAUAUAUUGAUAUAUUUAUGCAUGUAUGUAUACACUUGCUAUCUGUUACAUAUACAAUGAUAUGCACACGCAUAUGCAUCAUUAUGCAUUGAUAAGUUCAUACAUAUAUUACGUAUACACUGAUAUAUAUGAGCAUAUAGAUACUUAUUAUCAGUUUAUCGGUUAUUAACUUAUAUGUACACUGAUAUAUAUAUAUAUAUGCACACUCAAACGCAUAUGUAUAAUGUAUAAGACCAUGUAUAUACUUAUUAUCAAUAAUACAUACAAUUAUUAAAAUAAUUUGUGUACAUAUAUAUAUAUAGCAAUACAUAUCAUUGUUUCUAAUGUAUAU
RNAcentral lists this long non-coding RNA (1976 nucleotides) under Amborella trichopoda. Its description in RNAcentral is "long non-coding RNA (ATRI_LNC001131)". Lineage: Eukaryota; Viridiplantae; Streptophyta; Magnoliopsida; Amborellales; Amborellaceae. The record is from RNAcentral.